UCGUCACACUAUCAUUAACUGAAUCCAUAGGUUAAUGAGGCGAACCGGGGGAACUGAAACAUCUAAGUACCCCGAGGAAAAGAAAUCAACCGAGAUUCCCCCAGUAGCGGCGAGCGAACGGGGAGGAGCCCAGAGCCUGAAUCAGCAUGUGUGUUAGUGGAAGCGUCUGGAAAGGCGCGCGAUACAGGGUGACAGCCCCGUACACAAAAGCGCAUGUGCUGUGAGCUCGAUGAGUAGGGCGGGACACGUGGUAUCCUGUCUGAAUAUGGGGGGACCAUCCUCCAAGGCUAAAUACUCCUGACUGACCGAUAGUGAACCAGUACCGUGAGGGAAAGGCGAAAAGAACCCCGGCGAGGGGAGUGAAAAAGAACCUGAAACCGUGUACGUACAAGCAGUGGGAGCACCCUUUGGGUGUGACUGCGUACCUUUUGUAUAAUGGGUCAGCGACUUAUAUUCUGUAGCAAGGUUAACCGAAUAGGGGAGCCGGAGGGAAACCGAGUCUUAAUUGGGCGUUAAGUUGCAGGGUAUAGACCCGAAACCCGGUGAUCUAGCCAUGGGCAGGUUGAAGGUUGGGUAACACUAACUGGAGGACCGAACCGACUAAUGUUGAAAAAUUAGCGGAUGACCUGUGGCUGGGGGUGAAAGGCCAAUCAAACCGGGAGAUAGCUGGUUCUCCCCGAAAGCUAUUUAGGUAGCGCCUCGUGAAUUCAUCUCCGGGGGUAGAGCACUGUUUCGGCUAGGGGGCCAUCCCGGCUUACCAACCCGAUGCAAACUGCGAAUACCGGAGAAUGUUAUCACGGGAGACACACGGCGGGUGCUAACGUCCGUCGUGAAGAGGGAAACAACCCAGACCGCCAGCUAAGGUCCCAAAGUCAUGGUUAAGUGGGAAACGAUGUGGGAAGGCCCAGACAGCCAGGAUGUUGGCUUAGAAGCAGCCAUCAUUUAAAGAAAGCGUAAUAGCUCACUGGUCGAGUCGGCCUGCGCGGAAGAUGUAACGGGGCUAAACCAUGCACCGAAGCUGCGGCAGCGACGCUUAUGCGUUGUUGGGUAGGGGAGCGUUCUGUAAGCCUGCGAAGGUGGCCUGUGAGGGUUGCUGGAGGUAUCAGAAGUGCGAAUGCUGACAUAAGUAACGAUAAAGCGGGUGAAAAGCCCGCUCGCCGGAAGACCAAGGGUUCCUGUCCAACGUUAAUCGGGGCAGGGUGAGUCGACCCCUAAGGCGAGGCCGAAAGGCGUAGUCGAUGGGAAACGGGUUAAUAUUCCCGUACUUGGUGUUACUGCGAAGGGGGGACGGAGAAGGCUAUGUUGGCCGGGCGACGGUUGUCCCGGUUUAAGCGUGUAGGCUGGUUUUCCAGGCAAAUCCGGAAAAUCAAGGCUGAGGCGUGAUGACGAGGCACUACGGUGCUGAAGCAACAAAUGCCCUGCUUCCAGGAAAAGCCUCUAAGCAUCAGGUAACAUCAAAUCGUACCCCAAACCGACACAGGUGGUCAGGUAGAGAAUACCAAGGCGCUUGAGAGAACUCGGGUGAAGGAACUAGGCAAAAUGGUGCCGUAACUUCGGGAGAAGGCACGCUGACACGUAGGUGAAGUGAUUUACUCACGGAGCUGAAGUCAGUCGAAGAUACCAGCUGGCUGCAACUGUUUAUUAAAAACACAGCACUGUGCAAACACGAAAGUGGACGUAUACGGUGUGACGCCUGCCCGGUGCCGGAAGGUUAAUUGAUGGGGUCAGCGCAAGCGAAGCUCCUGAUCGAAGCCCCGGUAAACGGCGGCCGUAACUAUAACGGUCCUAAGGUAGCGAAAUUCCUUGUCGGGUAAGUUCCGACCUGCACGAAUGGCGUAAUGAUGGCCAGGCUGUCUCCACCCGAGACUCAGUGAAAUUGAACUCGCUGUGAAGAUGCAGUGUACCCGCGGCAAGACGGAAAGACCCCGUGAACCUUUACUAUAGCUUGACACUGAACAUUGAGCCUUGAUGUGUAGGAUAGGUGGGAGGCUUUGAAGCGUGGACGCCAGUCUGC
RNAcentral lists this ribosomal RNA (2014 nucleotides) under Salmonella enterica subsp. enterica serovar Enteritidis. Its description in RNAcentral is "partial 23S ribosomal RNA". It matches the Rfam family "Bacterial large subunit ribosomal RNA", at positions 140 to 2179 of the family's 2925-position model. The record is from RNAcentral. Lineage: Bacteria; Pseudomonadati; Pseudomonadota; Gammaproteobacteria; Enterobacterales; Enterobacteriaceae.